RNAcentral lists this microRNA precursor (78 nucleotides) under Trichobilharzia regenti. RNAcentral describes it as "mir-3492 microRNA precursor family". It matches the Rfam family "mir-3492 microRNA precursor family". The record is from Rfam by way of RNAcentral. Lineage: Eukaryota; Metazoa; Platyhelminthes; Trematoda; Strigeidida; Schistosomatidae.
AGCCUUCUAUAUCCAUGCUGAGAUUACAUCAGCAAGCAACCCGCUGGGGCUGAUGCAACUUCCCAAAUAAGUGAAGCG